AACAUAUUUUUUUUCAUUGACGUCCGCAAAGUCGGUGGGGGUCAGAAACCAAGGGUAAAUUUGUGUUUGCUUUUACAGGUUGUUGUUAUUAGUUGUCUGUUGCGUGAAAUAGGAAGUGUUUCGGUUGACUGGGUUCACAUUCUCCCGACUCCUUGUAGCCAGGAAGUGUAUCACUUGCGUCAGAUAAUACGGUCACUUUGAUACAGUCUAUGAGCCUUAUGUCCCGUCUCCGUAGACAGUCAAAUUUAAACUGUAGGAUGGUUUCCAAUUAGAGAUGAACUAACUGACAUCAGACGAAAAGUGAAAAACGUACGGUCAUUCUGUCUAUCCUUGUAUCUCUUGGUGUAUGAAAUAUGGUGGUAGGUAUUGAGAGAACAUAUUAAUCCCACCCUCCAACCUACCCUGAGAUGGUUUGUGGACCAGCCCUGACGGAAGCGUGCAUUCAUUGAUUGAUGGCAACAGCGCCUUGAGGAAAACAAACACACAUCAUUCCAUGAUAAUUCCAACACACAAACACGCCAAGGCUACGACCUUGGGAACAAGCUGAGGAAAAAAAAGAGAUGAAACUGUAAAGAGUAAACUUUGGAAACGUAUUCAAGAGCAAAUUAUGCUUAUUUCUUU
This 621-nucleotide unclassified non-coding RNA is filed under the name Gigantopelta aegis. Its description in RNAcentral is "protein ABHD15-like, transcript variant X7". Lineage: Eukaryota; Metazoa; Mollusca; Gastropoda; Neomphalida; Peltospiridae. The record is from RNAcentral.